Molecule: long non-coding RNA, 4478 nt
Organism: Amphiprion ocellaris (clown anemonefish)
Lineage: Eukaryota; Metazoa; Chordata; Actinopteri; Pomacentridae
Source: Ensembl
AGGUGAUUGACAGGUUCACAGACUGACGGUCUGUCAGCGGAAGCCUGGCAAAAACACAACAAAAAACGAACACGGAGGAGAUAGAGAGGAGAACCGGAGUCACAGCCGAGGAUAAAGUAGAUCUGAAAAUGCUUGCGAGAGCAAAUCAUCUGUCACUUGAGGAGACUGAUGUUUCUGAAGCAAGAAUUGAGACACAUAAGACUGAUGAUUUUCCCAGUCACAAGAUGAAAGGAGAGUCACCAAAGAAACAGGGUCACCAAACUGGAGGUGCAUCAUUGGAUAAACAGGAAACUGGAAAUGUUGAGUCGACUAACAUGUUCUGUGAUGACUAUGAGGAUGUUCCCGAUCGCAAGAUGAAAGAUGAGUCACCAAAGAAACAGGAUCACCAAACUGGAGCUGCAUCAUCUGAUGAACAGCAGUUGACGCAACAUAACUAGAAAAGCACUCAGAGAGCUCAGUCCUCCUCCAAGGCUGCUCAGCUGAUGGAUAAUUUCCGACGGAUGAAAUCUUUUAUAAAAAAUGACCUUGUGCUGAGCACAGGCAUGUGUUAUGCAUGUGCAUGUUAUGUAUUCAUACAGAAUUGCAUGGAAAUUACUCUUAUAAAGGUCUGUUGAUCAGUUCAUCAAUUUUGCCAAGCCUUUGCUGCUGUUAAAAUUACUGUUCCCUUAAUGCUUUUGUUUUGAAGGCGUAUUUUUAAUGGUACGGACUUUUAUUUUGUCACCAUUCCAGCGGCACAGGAAAUGUUAAUCUAAGAAGCGGUUUCUUGACAUGACAAAGACGUUGCCGAAAAGUCAGAAAAUUCACAUAUAGAUGAAAGAAAACGGUUCCAGCUGUUGCUGUCUAGCAAAGGAUGUGUCUAAACUUAGAAGCAGCUGGAAUGGAGACAAGCUCUGACUGUGUUUCCUGAAGAAAGGAGGGAAGGACAGAAAGGUGAAUCUGUGUUCAAAAUAAGGCUGACAGCUGAACGUAAAUAAAGGCUUUGUGAACCAUCAGGAGCUUCACCGUUAUUCGCCCCCAUAGACUGUAUAUAAAGAUGGACAUAGCAUCCGUGACGUCACCCGUUGGUUUCUGCACUGAGAAAUUGAAGCCUCUUCCUGGUUGACAUCUUGGAUUUUUGGAGCCAGUGAAGACAACAAGGGCGGAGCCAGAGAGCAGCGAUUGGUCAGACUGACUGAGAGCCGAAGAUUCUCUGUCCCGCCCACAUUUACGGCUUCUGCUGUUUACCUGCUGCUGCUAACAACGUUAGCAUCCAAAAGUGAAGAUAAACUCUACAGCUAAGUCAUUUUUGUAACUAGUUGUACUCUUCUCCACAUCUGGACAACAUCACAUAUAAAGCAGUGAAGUUACUGUAAGUUAAUAUCAAACUAUAACAUCUGAUAUAAACAUGUUCUAACGUCGUGUUUUAAAAUUGUUCUGUAAAUCUGAGGUUUCCUCAUUUAGUGCUAAUGCUACAUCAGGUUAGUCAGUGUCAUAAACUAGGUAACUGUUAGCUGUAGCUAAGUCUCCUGCAGAUCACAGCUGAUCAAUCAUAACGGAUUGAUAAGUGCUGUUUUAAUGAUCAGCAGAUAUAAAUAAAUCUACGUUAAUGUUCCUCCACAGAACUGUUACUGAUGAAUGUUAAUCUCUCAGUUCAGUUCUGAGUUAGUAUCUCUGUUCUUUGCUUCAGUUUUUUCUCUACAACUGUCUAUGAUGAGAUAACUGUGGAGCUCAUGCUAAUGAUACAUUAGAAUAAAAUAGAAGAAACUUUUUUGUCCAUCCAAGGCAGUAAAAUGGUCUUUAGCCUCAACCAGGAAAAGAAACAUUUCCAGAAGAUUAAAAAAUAGAACAAAAUACAACACUAUUGUGUUCCAUUCAUAUCCUGCUGUGUUCACUCUGGUAUUUAACGUUCCAGCAGUUGGAAUGAAAGAACCUUGUGGACCUUUUCCUCACUGUUAGUGUCUUUUCCUACCAGUCUUGGUCUGGAUCAUUGGGAACAUCUGGUCUGAUGGACUGAGAGCUACAGAGAGCAUGAACAUCCAGCUGUGGUUGUCUGAAGAGUCUUUUCUCCUUCAUCACUGUGAGGAAGAGCAGCACUGAUGUCCUCCUCAUCCUUCCAGUAAUAACAAUAAUGCUGCAGAUUCAGCUCCUCUCUUCAUAAUACAACUUGUCUUGUUACUUUUCAGUUUUUACAUUUCACUGUCAGCAACACAUUAUUUAUUUCAUCCAUUUAUUAUAUGUGUUUAAACGUCUUUACAGUUCACAAUUGUUAAAUAAUGUAGUUUUUAAAUGUGCCGUAAAGGAAAUAAUGAAGCUCUUGACCUGAAUGUGUUGAUGUUUUAAUGCUGCACAUCUGCUAUAAAUAACAUGGACUUUUUAUAUUUUAUUUCUGCUCCAACAGCAGAGAUGCAGUUAAAGGUGAUAAAUGGAACCUGUGAAUACUAAGAACAGAGAAUAAUAAACAGCUGAAACAGUUGGUCUGUCCGUCUGUAAGUGAAAGUUAAACAGGAAGUGGCUCACUGAGGAUGUCGUCCAUUCAGUCUCCUUCUUCACAACCAGAUGAGGUUUUCCUUCUGUUGGCUUCACUCAGAAGAUCCUCACAGUGAACAUGAGACACCUGAGAUGAAGACAGACGUCACAGUAUCUGCAUCAACAGCAGAGGUUCAUUUUAAAGUAUUCCUGGAUAGAUUUCCUAUUUCAUAUAUUUUUCCAAGCACUGAAAGACAGAAAGGCCUGUAGUCACUUUAGCUUUAAGGGAGAGGAUUUUAUUAUCCAGCUUAUCUGUGCUGUAAUUUAAAUGUAAUAACUGUAGUGUUCAUCAUUACUUUGGUCAUGUUCUGGGAGGUUAUUUUUCUAAUCUGCACUAAGAUGUACUACAACAUGUGAAUCAGUCAUUAAACAACGUUAAUGACUAGAGAGCAGAUUUACUGUUUUCUUCACUUUAACUUCAGAGACUCAGAUAUUCAGGACUACUGACAACACAGAACCUUAACCUCACUGUUGUAAUCACAUUUAGGUUUUCUAAACGUUACCAUUAAUGUGAACCAGCAUCUCCAUGAACAGUUUUAUUAACUAAAUGCACCACAUUACAGUAACACAACACACUUCAGCUGUUUACAUGAAACUCAACACAAACAUCGUUAGCUUAAUGCUACGUUAGCUUUAAUCAGGCUACGACUGAGCAGCUAGCUCGGUUAGCAUCGCUAACAUUAACACUAAUAUUUACUGGAUGCUAACUCUCUUCUCUGGUCAACACACACAGAAAUAAACUCCACCAACAUCUGGAGUGCAUGGCACACAUUAUAUCUGACACUAAAGCUGCAUAUAAAGUACAUUAAAAGCGGCACCGAUACGAAAAUAAACAUUAACUUACUGAACUAUCAGAGUCCUUUCAGUGUCUGCUGGUAGAAUCAGCUGAAGGCAGAAAACUGGUUAAAACAAGCCAAUAGGCAGGAAAACUGUCUGUGAAAAAGGUUCUGCUGCUCCACCGAUAAAUAAAACAACAGUUAUUAUAUCAGAAUUAAUCCAAACGAGGAGAGCAGAGUCUCUGCUGCCUCCUCCAUAGGACCUGUCAAUCAUUCCAGACCAAACUGUCAAUCAAGUAGUCCCGCCCCCUGGCUUCUCAAAACUUUAACGCUCUAUAAAAAAGUCAAUAUUGAUUUAUUUUAAGAUCAGCCACCUGAUCUCUCGUUUUGACCAUGAAAACUAACGAAAAAAAAAUCCUGAGCCGUAGAAAAGCAGUCUAUCAAAUUUGAGGUUUUCCUGUGAUGAAUUGGGGUCUAUGGAGCUUUUUGGAGCCAGGCCCUGGUUGACGGUGUGAUAUUGCAAGUUUCUGAUACUUCCGGGUAGGCUUCAUUUUUGAAGCCAGACGCUUGGUCCAUCAUUAUAUACAGUCUAUGUUCGCAUCCCCGCUCUCACACACAUCGGCCCGCCUUCUUCUUCUUUGGUGUUCGUCUCCUUUCUUCUUCUUUUGGAGUUAAUGUCGGUUGGCAAACCAGCUCAUUUCAUUACUGUCAACUACUGGGCUGAAGUGUGGAGCAGAAGUUUGUCAGCAACAAAAAAUAUUCAAUAAUAAUUUUUAAAAAUCUGCAAAUUUACUGGUCGCACAUGCGUGAGUAGAUGAAAAAUUUCUCGCACUGUCUCAAAUUUUAGUCGCAAAAUGCGAUCAUUUAGUCGCAGUCUGGAGCCCUGGAUGGUGUUCAGCUGCUUCAGUCAACAGUUUGUUUUCAUUGGAAAACAAUUGUAUGAGGAAAAUACAAUGUAUGACGGCAAAAAGCUGCUACUGUAAAUGAUGUAAGACAGGAAUGCUAGUAGAAAACUGUUAAACAUGCGUUAAUAUAUUUAUUUUAUUGAUCAAUGCAGCUGAUUAUUUCUAACAGCUGCACAUCAGAGCUGUUAAACUAUAAACUUCAUAUAUUUAAACAUGAUGUGGUAUUGAAGCGCAUUUUGGUCUGACACUGUCUCAUAAUGAAGGAAAUCACUUUCAUUUUGGACAAAUCAAG